AUUGAACGCUGGCGGCAGGCCUAAUACAUGCAAGUCGAGCGAGCGGCGGACGGGUGAGUAAUGUAUGGGGAUCUGCCCGAUCGAGGGGGAUAACUACUGGAACCGGUGGCUAAUACCGCAUACUACCCGAUCAACCCUUAUGGGAUUAGCUAGUAGUUGGGGUAAAGGCUCACAUAGGCGACGAUGUCUAGCUGGUCUGAGAGGAGGAUCAGCCACACUGGGACUGAGACACGGCCCAGACGCCUACGGGAGGCAGCAGUGGGGAAUAUUGGGCAAUGGGCGAAAGCCUGAUGCAGCCAUGCCGCGUGUAUGAAGAAGGCCUUAGGAUUGUAAAGUACUUUCAGCGGGGAGGCGUUACCCGCAGAAGAAGCACCGGCUAACUCCGUGCCAGCAGCCGCGGUAAUAC
Molecule: ribosomal RNA, 406 nt
Filed under: uncultured bacterium
Lineage: Bacteria
Description: partial 16S ribosomal RNA
Rfam family: Bacterial small subunit ribosomal RNA
Source: RNAcentral